Molecule: long non-coding RNA, 1630 nt
Filed under: Nicotiana tabacum (common tobacco)
Lineage: Eukaryota; Viridiplantae; Streptophyta; Magnoliopsida; Solanales; Solanaceae
Description: long non-coding RNA (NTAB_LNC001315)
Source: RNAcentral
UGCCACUGACAAGGCAAGGCAUUUGCGGAUCUGGUGGGGUCAGUACUGCUUUUAAAAAUCUAUAAUGGGCUGGGAUGGGUCGAAUUAAAACGCUUUGAUCUAGGUUUUCUGCUCCAUAGUCCAUAUAAGCAGUCUCCGUUGGCCAGAGAUUUUCAGCGAUAACUGAUUCAUCGAGAGAAAUCAUUGCCAUCGGGCUUCUCACUGGAGACUUCAAUAACUGCUGAGUUUUUCGAAAGGAACCUGUAAGUGUUUUAUUUAUUUGGGUUAUCUUUUUCUUCAAUUUAGAAGAUAGUCAGAUUGAUCCUUUACAAAACCUUUAAGAUGUGCGGUAUUGUAUUUCAAUGGAAUUUCUCGAUAUUCUGUUAUGCAAGUCAUUUUUUCCUAUUAAAUCCACACGUUUUACUUGGCAAAUGCAUCAGUAAAUAAUUAACUCGUGGUUUGUGAAGGGAACAAUACAGUUAGCACUUAUCAGUGCAACCUCUAUUCAAACACAGAUAUUGGAUUUUUUGAGUUGGAAGACAAGAUGCCAUUAGCAGUGUCCUUGUUGUGCCUGCAAGUUUGGAUAGAGCUAAGAAUGGCCUCCACUAAACCAGCGAGCUGAGCUUGAAAUGCUAAAGUCUAAGGGCCUCAACAUGAUGCCCAACCAUAUGUGAAUUGCAAUAGAGAUUGAUGAAGCUGAGCUUAUUUUUCUAAAAUUAGAAAUAUUUAUGCAGAUGUGGACGAGGGACAACUGAUGUGAUUGCAUGAGUUUAUUCGAUCAAAUUCGAUAUUGGUUUGAUGGAAUUCCUUGUUUUGCUGGAAAUUUGUCUUAGAGAAAGCUCACAACUUAUGAGCAACACUUGUCUAAUUUACGUCCCAAAUGUUUCUAAUAUCGACUUAUCAACUCAGACAAAUAUGUGAUUUGCUUCGCCUGCAUCGAAUCAUCAUUAAAUUCACAUCUUUGUCUGAGUUGAUAAGAUGAUCCAUGAGACAUGUAUACUCCGUGAAAGAUUUCUCAAGAUGGUCUCCAUUGCAUCGAUGGCUUCUAAACAAGGGAUUUCCAUCAAUCCAUUUUCGAACUUGAUAUCGAAUAAACUUGUGGGAUAACCAACAGUUUUCUUUUUCCAAAUUUGUAUAAAUGUUUGAUUUUUGAGAAGUUAACUCCAGCUUCAUCAAGCUCUCUUGCACUUUGAACGUGAAGAUAUGUUGAGUUCCUUAGUUUUUGUCAUCUCUUUUGAUGUAAACAUCUGCAAACGAUUACUUUACUUGCAACAGGCUAUCCGUGCUCACCACCACAUGAGAAAGCUCAGCUCACCAACUGACUCGUCUGUAUAAGGUACCUAUCAUUAUUGCUGACUUAUCAGCUUUUACAUCUUAAUUAGUUAUUCUUUUAAUUCUUGUUGAACUCAAAAAAGGCAAAAGAUAGUAAUAGUAUAUUACAAUUCUAUGAAGCUGCUAAAAAGAAAAAUGUCAAAGAAUUCCUCCAUCAUAGAAGUAUUGUGGAAAAGCUGACUAUAUUGCUUUCAGUGGUUGGUGAACCUUUCAGAACUGACAUAUUAUCUUAUUGGUGAAUGCAAUACUCAAAAAUGUACAAGUGACUACUGAAAGAGUAACACAAGAAAUAGAAGAUCUGAGGUUUUCCUUGCUGGUA